AAGCAGAAAAAAGGUUCUAGAGAUAAGACAAAUGAGCCCAACUCCAGGUUGCUGAAGGGAAAAAAAAUCUGGAAAGAAGCUGGCAUCAGAGGAGCUGAUCAUUUCCAUCAUGUUCUUGUCCCCAGCUUACUGCAAUAGAGACUUCAGAAAACUUCCCUUUGGGUAAGAUUCUCUCUUAUGCUGAGCUGAGUUAUGUCACUCCCAAUAAGAGAGCUUCUUUACUCUAUUGUCUGGUAUAUAUUUGUCUGUUCAUACUUUAUCUGAUUUCUGUUUGUCAAUUGAUUGAAUAAAUGACUUUUUUUGUGAAUGCAUUAUAUGUGUUCAUUUUGGAACUGAUAGUUGGUAGGAAAAAAUUAGGUUUUUGCUAUAAGGCUUGAUAUCUUCUCCCUUCCCCCAAUAAAGAAACUCAUCAGAAUUUAGCUUGAACCUGAAAAUCACAGCUGAAAAGAAAAUUUGAUGAGCAAAUGUUAUUCUCAAGAAACAUAGAAAGGUAAAAUCAAAACUUAAGGGUUUUGAUAAGAUUGAAUUGAGUACUUUCAUACUUGAGAAGGUGAUAAUUGAAAUAAUUAAGGUAUCUAUGAUACUUAAGAAAGGUAAGGUUCUUAAGGUAUGGAAGAUACCUAAACAAGACCUUUAUCAUUGUCAGAGCAAUGAGAAGAAGUAUACAUAGAAGAAAAGAAGCUAAAUAUGAUAGGUUGAUAUCCAAAAAAAGGGGAUGGGAAAGAGGAUCACAUGGGGGAAAGAGAAAAAGAGAGACAGAAGGGGUAAACUAUAUCUCAUUAAGAGAUACAUAAGUGAAAAAUAUUUAUAGCUGUGUUCCUUGUGGUGGCAAAAAAUUGGAAAAUGGGGGAGGGGUGAAAGGAACAGAAUCAGGAGAACAUUGUACACAGAGACCAAUACACUGUGGCACAAUCAAAUGUAAUGGACUUCUCUAUUAGCAGCAAAGCAAUGACCCAGGACAAUCCAGAGGAACUUAGGAGAAAGAACGCUAUCCACAUCCACAGAAAGAACUGUGGGAGUAGAAAUGCAGAAGAUGUAGUAUACCAGGUGAAAGAGAUGGAAGAUAAUUCUGAAGAUCAUGAGAGUAAGCCAUCAGACAUUCGGGAGCUAGAAUUCAUGCCAAGAUUUGUCAGAAACCAGAUAAUGAGGAAAGAAACCUCAGGCAAUCUGUUUGACCCAGAAAUACAGAUGAAUCCAUUCAUUAGCCAUGCCAUAGAUGGAAGUGAACUUGUUGGGACAAGUGCUCAGUAGAAAAUGUGGAAACUCAGAACCCAUUCUUCAUAGGGUCUGAGGUGGUAUAGGAAAGAAUGUGCCCCCA
RNAcentral lists this long non-coding RNA (1318 nucleotides) under Monodelphis domestica (gray short-tailed opossum). RNAcentral's name for it is "lncRNA (ENSMODG00000051136.1)". The record is from RNAcentral. Lineage: Eukaryota; Metazoa; Chordata; Mammalia; Didelphimorphia; Didelphidae.